Long non-coding RNA from Pistacia vera, 629 nucleotides. RefSeq lists it as uncharacterized. The transcript is spliced from 2 exons. Lineage: Eukaryota; Viridiplantae; Streptophyta; Magnoliopsida; Sapindales; Anacardiaceae. The record is from RefSeq and is a predicted model, not a curated record.
AUGGGACUUUUGCCUUCCUAGCUUUCAUCCCUUUACCUCACUCUCAAACUUAUCCUCCGUCUCUAGCUUUAUGGUCUCGACCGCCCUCUCCACUGUGCGUUUUCAUAACAUACUCUUCAUCUCUUCUAAAUCAAAACUUAGGGAAUUGUUGUUGUGAUGGGAAUAUAUAAAGAAGAUCUAGAAAGAUACGAGGCAGGCCAGCUGGAAUCAGAGAAAAGAGUGAAGACAUGUAUAGCUUGUUUGUGGUCAUUGGUGGUAAUCAUGACAGGAGGAUUGAUGUUAGGGUUUUGGGAGUAUGAAUACCAUCCAACAAAUAGUCAGCUGUGGAUGGUGCCCUUUGGUCUAAUUUUCUUACUUACUCCGGCCAUUAUUUGGUUUGCUGUUAUAUUUUCUGAGUUCUGCAACUCUAAGAACAGACACGUCGUCCCUGCUUCAAGUUCGUCAGGUGACUGACUCAGUUCAUGAUCUGGAGACAGCAUGAGUUACCAUGUGAUAUUACUGCUUCUGUAAGCCUUGUUUCAAAAUCCUAGUGUUACAAUUUCCAAUCGUUCCUUGGUUUUAAUUUGAGAUGUUCUUCAUUAAUUACCGAACUAAAAUGAUUGGAAUGGGCACUUUAAUAGUUUUGAUUA